This is a non-coding RNA of Podarcis lilfordi (Lilford's wall lizard), 80 nucleotides long. NCBI's taxonomy places the organism in Eukaryota, Metazoa, Chordata, Lepidosauria, Squamata, Lacertidae. The record is from the annotation of a GenBank genome assembly.
CCCAAACUAGCUCAGUUGGUAGAACAUGAAACUCUUAAUCUCAUGGGUCAUGGAUUUGAGCCGUGGUCGUGGGUUUGGGG